This 3123-nucleotide long non-coding RNA is filed under the name Mytilus galloprovincialis (Mediterranean mussel). The record is from RNAcentral. Lineage: Eukaryota; Metazoa; Mollusca; Bivalvia; Mytilida; Mytilidae.
AUAUCAUGAAGAUUGAAAUAACAGUACUGUGUUAGAAUUGUGUUAAAAUCGUGUAACAAUUGUACACAUCAUCGCUUGAAAAUGCAAAUGUAUUUUUCAAUGUUAAUGGAACUUGGAAAUUGUUUCUUUUUCAUUUUUUUUGUAUUUCCGUUGAAUCAUAUAUUUAAGUUGAGUAUUGGGCAUUAUUUUUUUUUAAUGUGUGUAUGUUCUUUUUAUUUGAUAUCUUUAAUUUGCAUGUUUUUUUUAUGAAUGAAUAAUUGUAACAAAUGUUAAUUAAGCAAUACUUGCCUGUCUGGCAAUUUAUUGUAUUAUAAAUUAAAAUAUUGUAAAUGUUAGGUAUGAUAUUUUUUUGCUUUUGUUGUGCAUGUUUUAACAACCUUUUGUUGGUAAUUGCAUUAAAAAAACGUAUAAAUAAUAAGCAUAUUGAAAUAGAAAGGUUUUUUUCUAUAGUAAAUUAAAAGGUUUUAUAGUCUAGCAUAUACUUUCAAUCAAAGGAACAUUAAGAAUAGAACUUGUUGACAAUGAGAAAGCAUUUAUUUAUGACAUACUAGCUAGCAUAUAUAUAAUUUGUAAUUCUACCUGUAAGCAAGUUCAUUGACAUACAGACUAACAACAAUGCAGUCUCGUCUACUUCAAGUUACUCAAGGGAGUGCAAGUUCAAGAAUGAAUACAUUUUGUUGUUCAAUACAGGUCAGAUUGUAAUUCUACCUGUAAGCAAGUUCAUUGACAUACAGACUAACAAUAAUGCAGUCUCGUCUACUUCAAGUUACUCAAGUGAAGUCAAGUUCAAGAAUGAAUACAUUUUUGUUGUUGAAGUAAGAGCAUUUCAAUACAGGUCAGAUUGUCCUUACAGUAAAUCAAUAUUUAAAAAAAAAAAUGUUUUUCAGGACAAUAGCCAUUGUUAUAUCAUAGUUCGUUUCUGUGUGUGUAACAUUCUUACAUUGUGUUUCCGUUGUGUCGUUUGUUUUCUCUUAUAUUUUAGUGUGAAUUAACAUUACUUUAAGACGUGUCACGGUACUUUUCUAUCCCAAAUUCAUGUAUUUGGUUUUGAUGUUAUAUUUGUUAUUCUCAUCGGAUUUUGUCUAAUGCUUAGUCCGUUUCUGUGUGUGUUACAUUUUAAUGUUGUGUCGUUGUUCUCCUCUUAUAUUUAGUGCAUUUCCCUCAGUUUUGGUUUGUUACUCCGAUUUUGUUUUUUGUCGAUGAUUUACGAGGUUUGGACAGCGGUAUACUAUUGUUGCCUUUAUUUUUCAAAGAAACAGCUUAAAUAAUUACACUUCUAUUUUUUUUUCCGGCAGCCAUGUCAAAUAUCAUCUGGUUUCAUAUUUCAUAUUUUUCAAUUCUACCUCAAAGAGAUAUUAACUUUUAUUGUGUUCCUUGCUUUUUUAACAUAUUGAAAAUAAUUUUGAAAAAAAAUGUUUCGUACAAAUGUAUAGGUAUACUUGAUACAUGACAUCUUACUGCAUUUGCAGAUCCACAUCUGUAUUUUACAAACAUGUAUGUUUCGAUAAAUAUAAAAACGUAUAGUGGCCACCCUCAAUAGAAGUAAAAUUUCUAUAUGUACAUUGAAUGCUGCUGCAAUAAGAACCAUUGAUGUGAUAAUAAAUCACUCACUUACCUGUUUUCGUGACUCAUGUGUUAUUAAAUGACUCAUCAUGAUAAAUAUUUACCAUGACAUGAUACGUAUGUGUGUACUUUUUGUCAUGAUUAGCCCUAAUUGCCAUUUGUCAUGUUUAUUUUUACUUUAAAUAUUAAUUUUGCGUUUUUCUAACCAUAUAUAUGUAUCAACAAAUUAAGAUCUUUUGCGGUCAUACUGAUUGUUAUAAUUCAUGAUUACUUCCAGAGUUUUAAGUCUCCUAUCCAGUUAGAAUAGAUAUUGAAUCGUGUUGCAAAAAUCAAGUAAUCAUACUUGUGGAGACAGCACAAAACACUGUGAUUCUCAAAUUUUGUUUAAACAGCCAUAUCAAAUGCUAAUAAGCAAAAGCAGUAGUUUACCAAUGUUUCAAUUAAGUGUUUUGAUAACCAAACCAACUUUUAAAAAAACCCGUCAGAAUAGCAUACACUCAAAACGGAGCAAUACGGGAGAUCCAACAGGGUAGCUGUCUCCUUCCAAUUAUCUUCUGACAUGCAUAGUAAUAAACUACAAUUCGAAAAAAAAAAAAGAAAAACAGAAAGGUUUUUGAAAUGUACAUGUACUACUGUAUAGUAUGCACAUAUACACAGCCAAGUAACACUGAUUUUAGGAGUUCCUUAUAAGACCGUUGUAUUAUAGUUUUUCAUUGAUUUACUCGAAGUAAAUUAUUGUUACUUUUUGGUACAUUGAUAUUCACUUUGACUCGCCUGUGUCAAUUUAACCUUUACAAUCCAAGUCAACGAAAUCGAAAUUUUAUAAAGUUAUUUUUAUUUUUUUUUAUGUGAUCGCAUGCUUUGUUUUCUUAUCUUAAAUGAAAGUUUAAUGUAUUAUUAUCCAAAUUAACUCAUUAUGCAAUAAUGUAAUAACCGUCUAUGCAAUUAUCAAUCAAUCAAUCGCCCAAUAUUCUUUUGUGUAAAAUGGGGCAUUUGCGGGAGCUCUUGUCAAGAUGACAUAGUUUAUUUUUGUUUCUAAGUUUUAAUAAGAAUACGUUGUUGUUUGUUGCUUUUUUGUUGUUGCCUUUUUUCAAUGUAGCAUGCAUUUUUUUUAAGAUUUCAAAAAGAAUAUAUUUUUCUAACAAAGUUAUGAUCUUCGACUGUUGUAAAGAAUAAUAUGAAAGAAAAACAAAUAAAUAUUUUUUAUCAAAAUUUAUUAGUCAAGGUUUAUCUUUCCAUGGGUAUUCAAAAUAAGUAAAAUAUAUAUCAGUAUUCAACAUGAGUUAACUUACCUCAAUGUAUAUACCUGCAUCAGACGCGCCCUUCAUCUACAAAAGACGCAUCAGUGACGCUUGAAUGAAAAAAGUUAAAAAGUUCAAAGGAAAUAGGAAGUUGAUGGGCAUUAAGGACUCAAAAUUCCGAUUUUUUGGGGGCUGAAUACAGCUCAUGUUCUCGAAUCAUGGUGUGGUUAAUCCUAUGGUAAAUAAAUGCGCAUCAUCUACAUGUCAAAUGAAUAUAUUCUUCAAAAAUGCUUCAUCAGAGAAAACAAAAAAUCAGAAC